GCCUGGCUAGCUCAGUCGGUAGAACAUGUGACUCUUAAUCUCAGGGUCGUGGGUUCGAGCCGCACGUUGGGUG
Molecule: non-coding RNA, 73 nt
Organism: Danio rerio (zebrafish)
Lineage: Eukaryota; Metazoa; Chordata; Actinopteri; Cypriniformes; Danionidae
Source: Rfam